Molecule: transfer RNA, 74 nt
Filed under: marine sediment metagenome
Description: tRNA-Trp
Rfam family: tRNA
About the family: Transfer RNA (tRNA) molecules are approximately 80 nucleotides in length. Their secondary structure includes four short double-helical elements and three loops (D, anti-codon, and T loops).
Source: RNAcentral
AGAGGUAUCGUCUAGUGGUAGGGCUCUGGCUUCCAAACCCAGAAGCGGGGGUUCGAUUCCUCCUACCUCUGCCA